CCUACGGGAGGCAGCAGUGAGGAAUAUUGGUCAAUGGGCGCGAGCCUGAACCAGCCAAGUCGCGUGAGGGAAGACGAUCCUAUGGAUUGUAAACCUCUUUUGUCGGGGAGCAAAAGACGCCACGCGUCGCGUUCCGAGAGUACCCGAAGAAAAAGCAUCGGCUAACUCCGCGCCAGCAGCCGCGGUAAUACGGAGGAUGCGAGCGUUAUCCGGGUUUAUUGGGUUUAAGGGGUGCGCAGGCGGAAGAGCAAGUCAGCGGUAAAAUUGAGAGGCUCAACCUCUUCGAGCCGUUGAAACUGGUUUUCUUGAGUGAGUGAGAAGGAUGCGGAAUGCGUGGUGUAGCGGUGAAAUGCAUAGAUAUAACGCAGAACUCCGGUUGCGAAGGCAGCAUACCGGCGCUCAACUGACGCUCAUGCACGAAAGUGUGGGUAGCGAACAGGAUUAGAUACCCGUGUAGUC
RNAcentral lists this ribosomal RNA (459 nucleotides) under uncultured bacterium. Its description in RNAcentral is "partial 16S ribosomal RNA". It matches the Rfam family "Bacterial small subunit ribosomal RNA", at positions 338 to 795 of the family's 1533-position model. The record is from RNAcentral.